Non-coding RNA from Onthophagus taurus, 828 nucleotides. The record is from RefSeq and is a predicted model, not a curated record. NCBI's taxonomy places the organism in Eukaryota, Metazoa, Arthropoda, Insecta, Coleoptera, Scarabaeidae.
CAGAACCCCAGAAACGUCUAAUGACCGGUCUCGCUGAGACAUCCUGUAUAUAGUAACUCAUGCUGCCAACAAGUUGGCAGUGUAUAAACGAAGUUGUAAGCUUUCAGAACAGAAAAUGUUGGAUGUAAUAAUUCAUGCUGCCAACAAGUUGGCAGACUCUGCUUUAUAAAACAGAAGCUCUGGGAUGUAACAGCUCAUACUGCUAACAAGUUGACAGACUCUGCGUUAUAGAAUAGAAUCGCUGAAAUACAAUAGCUCAUACUGCCAACAAGUUAGCAGUCUGUAAGGAAUGUUGCAAGCUUCUAGAUGCAGUAACUCAUGCUGCCAACAAGUUGGCAGCCUAUAAACGAAGUUGUAAGCUUUCAGAUGUAGUAGCUCAUGCUGCCAACAAGUUGGCAGCUUAUAAGGGAUGUUGUAGGCUUCCAGAUAUAUUAGCUCAUGCUGCCAACAAGUUGGCAGCCUUUUCGUUAUAGAACAGAAGCUCUGGGAUGUAAUAGCUUAUGCUGUUAACAAGUUGGCAGUUUAUUAACGAAAUUACAAGCUUCCAGAUGUAGUAGCUCAUGCUACCAACAAGUUGGUAGGCUUUUCGUUAUAAAACAGAAGCUCUGGGAUGUAACAGCUCAUGCUGCCAACAAGUUGGCAGCCUAUUAACGAAAUAACAAACUUUCAGAUGUAGUAGCUCAUGCUGCCAACAAGUUGGCAGCUUAAAAGGGAUGUUGUAGGCUUCCAGAUAUAUUAGCUUAUGCUGCCAACAAGUUGACAGCCUUUUCGUUAUAGAACAGAAGCUCUGGGAUGUAAUAGCUCAUGCUGCCAACAAGUUGGCAGGCU